GACGAACGCUGGCGGCGUGCCUAAUACAUGCAAGUAGAACGCACGGUUUAUACCGUAGCUUGCUACACCAUAGACUGUGAGGUGCGAACGGGUGAGGAACGCGUAGGUAACCUGCCUGGUAGCGGGGGAUAACUAUUGGAAACGAUAGCUAAUACCGCAUAAUAUUAAUUAUUGCAUGAUAAUUAAUGGAAAGGUGCAAUUGCAACACUACCAGAUGGACCUGCGUUGUAUUAGCUAGUAGGUGAGGUAACGGCGCACCUAGGCGACGUUACAUAGCCGACCUGAGAGGGUGCUCGGCCACACUGGGACGGCGACACGGCCCAGACUCCUGCGGGAGGCAGCAGUAGGGAAUCUUCGGCAAUGGACGAAAGUCUGACCGAGCGACGCCGCGUGAGUGAAGAAGGUUUUCGGAUCGUAAAGCUCUGUUGUAAGAGAAGAACGGGUGUGAGAGUGGAAAGUUCACACUGUGACGGUAUCUUACCAGAAAGGGACGGCUAACUACGUG
RNAcentral lists this ribosomal RNA (505 nucleotides) under uncultured bacterium. RNAcentral's name for it is "partial 16S ribosomal RNA". It matches the Rfam family "Bacterial small subunit ribosomal RNA", at positions 28 to 507 of the family's 1533-position model. The record is from RNAcentral.